AUUGAACGCUGGCGGCAGGCCUAACACAUGCAAGUAGAACGAGUGGCGGACGGGUUAGUAAUGUCUGGGAAACUGCCUGAUGGAGGGGGAUAACUACUGGAAACGGUAGCUAAUACCGCAUACCAUCGGAUGUGCCCAGAUGGGAUUAGCUAGUAGGGGGGGUAAAGGCUCACCUAGGCUACGAUCCCUAGCUGGUCUGAGAGGAUGACCAGCCACACUGGAACUAGGACACUGUCCAGACGCACAGGGGAGGCAGCAGUGGGGAAUAUUGCACAAUGGGUGCAAGCCUUAUGCAGCCAUGACGCGGGUAUGAAGAAGGCCGUCGGGUUGUAAAGUACGUUCAGCGGGGAGGCGGUACCCGAAGAAGAAGCACAGGCUAACUCCGUGCCAGCAGCCGCGGUAAUAG
This 406-nucleotide ribosomal RNA is filed under the name uncultured bacterium. Its description in RNAcentral is "partial 16S ribosomal RNA". It matches the Rfam family "Bacterial small subunit ribosomal RNA", at positions 29 to 526 of the family's 1533-position model. The record is from RNAcentral.